CGCAGCCGCGGUAAUUCCAGCUCCAAUAGCGUAUAUUAAAGUUGUUGCAGUUAAAAGCUCGUAGUUGAAUUUCGGGAUCAAUAUGUUGGUCGUGCCUCGGUACGUACUAGCUUAUUGGUUUCUCCUUUCUGAAGAACCAUGAUGUCAUUUAUUUGGUGUCGUGGGGAAUCAGGACUGUUACUUUGAAAAAUUAGAGUGUUUAAAGCAGGCUCACGCUUGAAUACAUUAGCAUGGAAUAAUGAAAUAGGACGUUUGAUUCUAUUUUGUUGGUUUCUAGGAUCGACGUAAUGAUUAAUAGGGAUAGUUGGGGGCAUUAGUAUUCAAUUGUCAGAGGUGAAAUUCUUGGUAUUUAUUGAAGACUAACUACUGCGAAAGCAUUUGCCAAGGAUGUUUUCAUUAAUCAAGAACGAAAGUUAGGGAUCGAAGACGAUCAGAUACCGUCGUAGUCUUAACCAUAAACUAUGACCGACUAGGGAUCAGAUGAUGUUUAAUUUUUAAUGUACUUCUAUUCGGCGUACCG
RNAcentral lists this unclassified non-coding RNA (520 nucleotides) under uncultured Glomus. RNAcentral describes it as "SSU rRNA". It matches the Rfam family "Eukaryotic small subunit ribosomal RNA", at positions 569 to 1100 of the family's 1831-position model. Lineage: Eukaryota; Fungi; Glomeromycota; Glomeromycetes; Glomerales; Glomeraceae. The record is from RNAcentral.